Molecule: ribosomal RNA, 468 nt
Filed under: uncultured bacterium
Lineage: Bacteria
Description: partial 16S ribosomal RNA
Rfam family: Bacterial small subunit ribosomal RNA
Source: RNAcentral
GACGAACGCUGGCGGCGUGCUUAACACAUGCAAGUCGAACGGAAAGGCCCUGCUUUUGUGGGGUGCUCGAGUGGCGAACGGGUGAGUAACACGUGAGUAACCUGCCCUUGACUUUGGGAUAACUUCAGGAAACUGGGGCUAAUACCGGAUAGGAGCUCCUGCUGCAUGGUGGGGGUUGGAAAGUUUCGGCGGUUGGGGAUGGACUCGCGGGUUAUCAGCUUGUUGGUGGGGUAGUGGAUUACCAAGGCUUUGACGGGUCGGCGGCCUGAGAGGGUGACCGGCCACAUUGGGACUGAGAUACGGCCCAGACUCCUACGGGAGGCAGCAGUGGGGAAUAUUGCACAAUGGGCGGAAGCCUGAUGCAGCAACGCCGCGUGCGGGAUGACGGCCUUCGGGUUGUAAACCGCUUUCGCCGGUGACGAAGCGUGAGUGACGGUAAUGGGUAAAGAAGCACCGGCUAACUACGUG